Molecule: non-coding RNA, 96 nt
Filed under: Delftia acidovorans
Lineage: Bacteria; Pseudomonadati; Pseudomonadota; Betaproteobacteria; Burkholderiales; Comamonadaceae
Also listed under: 1 other name
Description: c-di-GMP sequence
Rfam family: c-di-GMP-I riboswitch aptamer
About the family: GEMM was predicted in a large-scale screen for bacterial structured RNA regulatory elements. Genes associated with GEMM are involved in a diverse array of functions, including chemotaxis regulation, signal transduction, secretion and chitin.
Source: RNAcentral
UUUGCGCACCAGCACACCCGUACGAAAGGCGGGGUCGCAAAGCCUCCGGUCUACCCCCGCCCUUUGACGGGCGGGCAUGACAGCGGGGUUGCCAGG